UAGCUCAGCGGUAGAGCACUUGCCUAGCAAGCGCAAGGCCCUGGGUUCGAUCCCCAG
RNAcentral lists this transfer RNA (57 nucleotides) under Rattus norvegicus (Norway rat). It matches the Rfam family "tRNA", at positions 8 to 63 of the family's 71-position model. Rfam says of the family: Transfer RNA (tRNA) molecules are approximately 80 nucleotides in length. Their secondary structure includes four short double-helical elements and three loops (D, anti-codon, and T loops). Further hydrogen bonds mediate the characteristic L-shaped molecular structure. tRNAs have two regions of fundamental functional importance: the anti-codon, which is responsible for specific mRNA codon recognition, and the 3' end, to which the tRNAs corresponding amino acid is attached (by aminoacyl-tRNA synthetases). tRNAs cope with the degeneracy of the genetic code in two manners: having more than one tRNA (with a specific anti-codon) for a particular amino acid; and 'wobble' base-pairing, i.e. permitting non-standard base-pairing at the 3rd anti-codon position. The record is from Rfam by way of RNAcentral. Lineage: Eukaryota; Metazoa; Chordata; Mammalia; Rodentia; Muridae.